AUAUCCCCUUCCCCAGCUCACUGCUAGUGCCCGGAAAGUGCAGGCGUCUGCCCCAGAGCGGCCUCUGCUUCUUGGGGCCAGGGGCCAGGCUGUGGCCCCCAGACACCAGCCAUGGCAGGGCCUGGCCCUCAGGCGUGGGGACUGGCGGCCCAUCCAGCCUGCAGCCGCCCAGCCCUGCACGGGACGCCACACCCAAUGCAAGCGGCCCUGGGGCUGCAGGACGCCAUGGGAGCGUCAGGGCAGCUGGUCAGUGUCAGCGCCAUGGAGCAGCAAAGUUUUAUAGCCCCUUCCAAGGGCCGCGAGUGGUGCUGUGGCCUGUGAGGAACCCUGAGCCCAGGCCAGCCAGGGGCUCAGGUCAGCAGCCUUGGGACGCCAAGUGCCUGCCAGCGCCCCCAGAACCCAGCCCUGGGCUCACCCCCAUAGGCCCGGCCCCACAGGUGUCCAACAGUGGGUCUGUCACGGAGUCCCCAGGCGAUGCUCUGGGACUGCUCCCCACAAAGCCAGGCAGGACUUUGGGGAGCCUCCUCUCCCUCGGAGCAGACUGUCUUCAGGGAAGGAGCUCACACGGCUUCACCUUCCUGGGUCUCUCCUGGGAGCAUUCAGCAUAUGCCCCUCCGUGCGCUUCCCACAGCGAGUCCGCCCCGGCGGGGUCCUGGGGAAGCCAGAGGGUCCUGCACCCCCACUUCGCAGUCAGACGUGACUCAACCAGCCGGGAAAACAGAAGGUUUAUUAGUCAACAGGAACACGGCGUAGGGCAGAACUUCUUAGCACAGAAAUCAGUGACUUUCAGCCAAGUCCCUCUUGUGGGAGGGGAACCCAGAGCCUGCACCCUAAGCCAGCCGGGACUGACUCGCUUCCAGCUGUCUGGCCCCUGCCCUGCCCCUUGCUCCUCCUCCAGCCUUUGUCUUGCUUCCUGGGCCAGAGUCAUCUGGCCACCUCCCCCUCCUGGGCCUCUGCAAAAGUCACUCCCCUUAUUCCCACCACCUAGACAUUGGUGCAAUACACAGGGAAACUGAGGCACACACAGCAUUCAUGCAAAACAGUCCGACUCACAUACAACAUAACAAGGGAA
RNAcentral lists this long non-coding RNA (1072 nucleotides) under Chrysemys picta bellii (western painted turtle). Its description in RNAcentral is "lncRNA (ENSCPBG00000002810.1)". The record is from RNAcentral. Lineage: Eukaryota; Metazoa; Chordata; Testudines; Emydidae.